UGAGGAAUAUUGGUCAAUGGACGCAAGUCUGAACCAGCCAAGUAGCGUGCAGGAUGACGGCCCUAUGGGUUGUAAACUGCUUUUAUGUGGGAAUAAAGUGGCGCACGUGUGCGCCAUUGCAUGUACCUCAUGAAUAAGGACCGGCUAAUUCCGUGCCAGCAGCCGCGGUAAUACGGAAGGUCCGGGCGUUAUCCGGAUUUAUUGGGUUUAAAGGGAGUGUAGGCGGUCUGUUAAGCGUGUUGUGAAAUUUAGGUGCUCAACAUUUAACUUGCAGCGCGAACUGUCAGACUUGAGUACACGCAGCGCAGGCGGAAUUCAUGGUGUAGCGGUGAAAUGCUUAGAUAUCAUGAGGAACUCCGAUCGCGAAGGCAGCCUGCGGGAGUGUUACUGACGCUUAAGCUCGAAGGUGCGGGUAUCGAACAGGAUUAGAUACCCUGGUAGUCCGCACAGUAAACGAUGGAUGCCCGCCGUUGGCGCCCUGCGCCUGCGGCCAAGCGAAAGCAUUAAGCAUCCCACCUGGGGAGUACGCCGGCAACGGUG
RNAcentral lists this ribosomal RNA (540 nucleotides) under uncultured bacterium. Its description in RNAcentral is "bacterial SSU rRNA". It matches the Rfam family "Bacterial small subunit ribosomal RNA", at positions 355 to 896 of the family's 1533-position model. The record is from RNAcentral.